Wyeomyia smithii (pitcher-plant mosquito) is the source of this 412-nucleotide long non-coding RNA. RefSeq lists it as uncharacterized. The record is from RefSeq and is a predicted model, not a curated record. Lineage: Eukaryota; Metazoa; Arthropoda; Insecta; Diptera; Culicidae. The transcript has 3 exons.
GGGAACAAAGCUUGGCUCAGACAAUUGCACGGUACAGUCAUAGAGUGAAGGUGGUUUAUGGUCGUCCUUAAGAAGCCGAUCUGAAGUGCUCGAAAUAGAAGGUUUGUCGCAUCGCAUAUCACGAUUUGGCAGGUUACACCAAUAGCCCGCAAACAAAAGGGACCACCCGAUCUGUUCUCGGAUAACCGCAUGCAACGCGAGCACGUUUGACUUCAUUCCAAUCAAUACACCAAGUUCCCUAUGAGCUAUCGCAAGACUUGCACGUAACAUCCGUAUAGUUUGGAGAGAUAGAUUUGCUACGAGAGUUGCGAAUUCCAAGAAACAAGAGUUAUACGGCAUAAGCUAGUGAUCUCCGACGACAGAUUAAGCCACAACGAGACUCGGCUGCGUUGGAUUUAAGUAUCGAAAGAGU